This 497-nucleotide ribosomal RNA is filed under the name uncultured bacterium. Its description in RNAcentral is "partial 16S ribosomal RNA". It matches the Rfam family "Bacterial small subunit ribosomal RNA", at positions 28 to 507 of the family's 1533-position model. The record is from RNAcentral.
GAUGAACGCUGGCGGCGUGCCUAAUACAUGCAAGUCGAGCGAACAGAUGAGGAGCUUGCUCCUCUGACGUUAGCGGCGGACGGGUGAGUAACACGUGGAUAACCUACCUAUAAGACUGGGAUAACUUCGGGAAACCGGAGCUAAUACCGGAUAAUAUAUUGAACCGCAUGGUUCAAUAGUGAAAGACGGUUUUGCUGUCACUUAUAGAUGGAUCCGCGCCGCAUUAGCUAGUUGGUAAGGUAACGGCUUACCAAGGCAACGAUGCGUAGCCGACCUGAGAGGGGGAUCGGCCACACUGGAACUGAGACACGGUCCAGAGUCCUACGGGAGGGAGCAGUAGGGAAUCUUCCGCAAUGGGCGAAAGCCUGACGGAGCAAGGCGGCGUGAGUGAUGACGGUCUUCGGAUCGUAAAACUCUGUUAUUAGGGAAGAACAAAUGUGUAAGUAACUAUGCACGUCUUGACGGUACCUAAUCAGAAAGCCACGGCUAACUACGUG